Sphaerodactylus townsendi is the source of this 901-nucleotide long non-coding RNA. RefSeq lists it as uncharacterized. Lineage: Eukaryota; Metazoa; Chordata; Lepidosauria; Squamata; Sphaerodactylidae. The transcript is spliced from 3 exons. The record is from RefSeq and is a predicted model, not a curated record.
GUGAAACAAUGCAGGACUCCAUGGGGGAAAUGUUUUAUUUCCUGCCUCAAAACGUUUUUAAAGGCCUGUGCGAAUGCACUCCUGUGCCAGAUACUUGUGAAAUGGUAGUAGCUUUCCCGGAAGGCAGUCAUGGUUUAUCUCUAAUUUCUGUGUUUUCCCAGAGUUCCCCAUCGCCGUGACUGUGCUGGCUGUUAUCGGCAAGGCUUCUCUUGGGGCCUCCUUUUCGACCACCUAUGUGUUCUCUGCGGAGAUAUUUCCCACGGUUGUCAGGCAGACGAGCUUAGGUUUGUGCUCCACGUCGGCCAGAAUCGGUGGCAUUCUCGCCCCACUGGUCGGUCUUUUGGAUGAGAUCCAUCCUGCAAUUCCCAUGGUUCUGCUUGGAAGCACGGCGUUGGUCGGGGGAAUCCUCUGCUUCUUUCUUCCCGAGACCCGGAACAAAGAUCUUCAAGACGACACCACCAAGGCUCCACCAAGCCAACAAGCCAACAAGACAGCCCCAAAUUGUGUUGAAAAUGGACCUGUGGAAGAGAAAGAUGCCAACGGGAUUAUAGAAACCACCAAGAGUACAUACCUGUAGUGCCAAAAUCAAAUCUCCUGGCUUUGGAAGGAAAGACGGAAUGUUUCAUUUUUAAACAUGAACUUUAUUGACAAGUGUUCUGGGUAUCCUCCUCGAUUCUGCCUUCGUGUGCAAAAAGGUAGAUCUCUCCGCCAUUUUUGAAAGCAAAUGCAUAAUCCAGCAGGUCUGGAUUAACCUGAUUCAUACAUGAGGAACUUUUGAGUCCUUUUACUUUUCCAGCUCUAUUAGCUUUGUACACCUCCAUGUUCUCAAACUGUGGCUGCCGUUUCUUCACGCAGAGUUCCUCACAGUGGAGUUAAAUAAAGUCAUAGCUCAUCUUCCUGA